Molecule: long non-coding RNA, 779 nt
Organism: Carassius carassius (crucian carp)
Lineage: Eukaryota; Metazoa; Chordata; Actinopteri; Cypriniformes; Cyprinidae
Exons: 3
Source: RefSeq, a predicted model, not a curated record
UGUGCGAAACGACUGUCAAAAAUACGUCGUCAAGGUCACAGGCAUUACUAUCCAAGGGAAGAUGAAUCGAUUCAACGAAGUGCGCAUGCGCCCCACCAAAGUUUUAAACCACUGGCGCCGAAAUGGCGGAUCAGCAGCCAAGCGCUCACACCUCGUCUCAGGAAGCUUGUGUUGGGGAGGAUUCGAUGUCUAUUGAGGCACAUGUGAAUGUGUUAUAAAGUGAGUAUCAGAAACACAUCCAGACACAUGGACUGUCAGAGACCACACGGCAGGAACAUGCUCCUGGAGACGCUGAGAAAGCACGGAAGGAAUGUCUGAGGAGGAUGCACUCAAAAAAAUACACAUACUUAAGGACACCUGCUGGAGGGGACCCGGCUACACCUUUCCUACCAUACACCUGAUGGAUACUGACUGUAAAAUGGCAAUCACAGGAGGAGGGCUCAGUGUGGUGACAGAAGAUGGAAUAGAUGUGUGCCAGUGCACCAGCCUUGAUGAAGCCUUCAAACAGCCUUUUGGAUGUAUUUUGCUUUCAACAUUGCAUAUCCACCACACCUGAGAAAGACACUGACUUUCCUUCAGAGGCACAUUGUGAACAUUAGAAGAUGGAGACAAGCACUGUCAGUAACUUUACUCUGAAUGAUUUGCCUCUUGUGUUAGAUCCUCAUGCCUUGACUGUACCAUUGCCCAAAGUGCACUCGAAGGACAUUCACUCUUCUGAAGUUAAUCCAACAUGUUGGAGUGGUACAUGCACAUGAACCAAAUAACUUGCUCUAUUCUUU